RNAcentral lists this ribosomal RNA (277 nucleotides) under uncultured prokaryote. RNAcentral's name for it is "partial 16S ribosomal RNA". It matches the Rfam family "Bacterial small subunit ribosomal RNA", at positions 524 to 800 of the family's 1533-position model. The record is from RNAcentral.
UACGUAGGGGGCGAGCGUUGUCCGGAAUGAUUGGGCGUAAAGGGCGCGUAGGCGGCUGAUUAAGUCUGGAGUGGAAGUCCUAUUUUCAAGGUAGGAAUUGCUUUGGAAACUGAUCAGCUUGAGUGCAGGAGAGGUUAUCGGAAUUCCCGGUGUAGCGGUGAAAUGCGUAGAGAUCGGGAGGAACACCAGUGGCGAAGGCGGGUAACUGGACUGCAACUGACGCUGAGGCGCGAAAGUGUGGGGAGCAAACAGGAUUAGAUACCCUCGUAGUCCCUGA